Molecule: ribosomal RNA, 371 nt
Filed under: bacterium enrichment culture isolate 'GS-2 DGGE band-g'
Lineage: Bacteria
Description: bacterial SSU rRNA
Rfam family: Bacterial small subunit ribosomal RNA
Source: RNAcentral
CUGGGCGUAAGCGGUGCGCUAGGCGGGUUCGUGUCAAGAUCUGAGAGUGAAAGCCCGUGGCUCAACCUGUGGAAUGUGCUUUGGAGACUGCUUGACUUGAGUGCGUGGAGAGGCGGGGGGAAUUCCACGUGUAGCGGUGAAAUGCGUAGAGAUGUGGAGGAAUACCGGUGGCGAAGGCGCCUUGCUGGACAGUGACUGACGCUGAGGCACGAAAGCGUGGGGAGCAAACAGGAUUAGAUACCCUGGUAGUCCACGCCGUAAACGAUGAGUGCUAGGUGUUGGGGGGACUCACCCCAGUGCCGAAGGAAACCCAGUGAGCACUCCGCCUGGGGAGGACCGGCCCCAGACUGAAACUCCAAAGAAUUGACGGG